CAGCAGCCGCGGGAAUACGUAGGGUGCAAGCGUUAAUCGGAAUUACUGGGCGUAAAGCGUGCGCAGGCGGUUAUAUAAGACAGAUGUGAAAUCCCCGGGCUCAACCUGGGAACUGCAUUUGUGACUGUAUAGCUAGAGUACGGCAGAGGGGGAUGGAAUUCCGCGUGUAGCAGUGAAAUGCGUAGAUAUGCGGAGGAACACCGAUGGCGAAGGCAAUCCCCUGGGCCUGUACUGACGCUCAUGCACGAAAGCGUGGGGAGCAAACAGGAUUAGAUACCCGCGUAGUCCCUGUCCUUAUACA
RNAcentral lists this ribosomal RNA (301 nucleotides) under uncultured bacterium. RNAcentral's name for it is "partial 16S ribosomal RNA". It matches the Rfam family "Bacterial small subunit ribosomal RNA", at positions 509 to 809 of the family's 1533-position model. The record is from RNAcentral.